GACGAACGCUGGCGGCGUGCUUAACACAUGCAAGUCGAACGGAAAGGCCCUUCGGGGUACUCGAGUGGCGAACGGGUGAGUAACACGUGGGUGAUCUGCCCUGCACUUUGGGAUAAGCCUGGGAAACUGGGUCUAAUACCGAAUAAGACCACGCGCUUCAUGGUGUGUGGUGGAAAGCUUUUGCGGUGUGGGAUGGGCCCGCGGCCUAUCAGCUUGUUGGUGGGGUAAUGGCCUACCAAGGCGACGACGGGUAGCCGGCCUGAGAGGGUGACCGGCCACACUGGGACUGAGAUACGGCCCAGACUCCUACGGGAGGCAGCAGUGGGGAAUAUUGCACAAUGGGCGCAAGCCUGAUGCAGCGACGCCGCGUGAGGGAUGACGGCCUUCGGGUUGUAAACCUCUUUCAAUAGGGACGAAGCGCAAGUGACGGUACCUAUAGAAGAAGCACCGGCCAACUACGUG
This 462-nucleotide ribosomal RNA is filed under the name uncultured bacterium. RNAcentral describes it as "partial 16S ribosomal RNA". It matches the Rfam family "Bacterial small subunit ribosomal RNA", at positions 28 to 507 of the family's 1533-position model. The record is from RNAcentral.